UUUUUGAACGGAAUCUUCCUCUAGAUAAGCUUCCCUCUUGUUGGACUGGUGCUGUUCUCGUUUCCUCUUUGUUUGUUUUCUUUUCCCUUUUUUUAUCUUCUUUUCUUGAAGACAUUUAUUUUUUGCAACAUCUUUAGGACAUUAUUUUAUGCAAGUGCUUGAUGAAAUGACAUAAAGAUUGGGUUCAAGCUGGCUCAGUCGUUUGGUGCAGUGGCAAGGGACACAUGACCUCAGUCCAUUUGCCUAGGCGAUGUCCGGUGAGUGUAGAAUAAUAUCUUGAUAUAAAUGUUCAAUUAUUUUAUUUAUUGACGACGAGGCAUACUGCUAGGAUUUUAACGUGUCAAGCCACAACUGGCAUGCCAUUUUGAGCCGUACAAUACUUGUAAGUGCGGACAAUGUCCAGUGAUAUAUUGGGACCUAGUGGCCUGAAUUUUAUAAUUACAAACGGGACACCAAAACUUUCAAGACAAAAUCAUGUGGCCCUCAUUCAUGAUAAUGUAACCCGAAGAACCUACCUCAUGUUGCAUUUAUGUG
RNAcentral lists this long non-coding RNA (534 nucleotides) under Populus trichocarpa (black cottonwood). Its description in RNAcentral is "long non-coding RNA (PTRI_LNC003837)". The record is from RNAcentral. Lineage: Eukaryota; Viridiplantae; Streptophyta; Magnoliopsida; Malpighiales; Salicaceae.